UCCGGGUUGGACCCGGCGGUCCCGCCAGACAUGGUAACUGGCAGCGAGGGUUGCGCUCGUUGCGGGACUUAACCCAACACCUCACGGCACGAGCUGACGACAGCCAUGCAGCAUCUGUGCACGCUCCCUUGCGGGUCAUCACCGUUUCCGGCUUUUACCACGUGCAUGUCAAGCCCAGGUAAGGUUCUUCGCGUUGCGUCGAAUUAAACAACAUGCUCCACCGCUUGUGCGGAGCGUGUGGUU
Molecule: unclassified non-coding RNA, 243 nt
Filed under: uncultured Chloroflexota bacterium
Lineage: Bacteria; Bacillati; Chloroflexota
Description: uncultured Chloroflexi bacterium contains 16S-23S intergenic spacer region
Source: RNAcentral